AGGAGGCUUCCCCCUCCUCUCUUUCCCCCCCUUGAAGAGCUUUGGGCUGAAGGCUGUAGAGCGCUUAGUAAUGAGAGGGGCCUUGUUUCCAUGCUUCAAAAGCAGCUUGUUGCCAUCCCACAGAGCCUCUGAAAGUGAUGAUAAGCCUUGUCCUUGUGUGCCUUCAAGUCCUUUCCCAAUUAUGAUCAGAGAGGGCUUGCCUUGGCCUUCCCCUGAGGCUGAGAGAGUGUGACCUGCCAAAGCUGCCAAAAUUCGAGCCUUUGUGGAGGGCUGUGGGUGGCUGUGCUUCUAAUCUGAGUGAAUGUGGAGGACUGACUGUAUUUCAUUGAAUAGAGAGAAGAAGAAGAAGAAGAGGAGGAGGAGGAGGAGGAGGAGGAGGAAGUUGUUGUUGUUUGUUUGUAUCCUGCCUCCAUCUCUCCGAGGGGACUCGGGGCGGCUCACAUGAGGACACAGAGUUCCAGGCUGGGUCAGGAAAUUUUGCCAUCUGUGGCAAAGAAAGUGAUUAAUUCUACAAGUUGGUUGCCCGGCUACACGCUAACAUCUUCACAGCCCCAUGCCGUCCUGGUCCUUAAGUGCUUUCAGCGAUAAAAUAAACUAAACUCAAGUUUAGUUAUGCAAAAGCCAGUAAGAGAGGCAUCACAGAACUUGAACGGUUCAGAACUACUGCAACUGAUGUGUACUCUUUAACAUUUAUUUGAUGCCAGCUGUGCUUGUAGCGCUCUAGAGAAAGCAGAAAUGGUGCAUCCUAUGCCCAGAAUCAAUUCACAUAAAGAUCAAUUCAUGAAAAAGAUAUUCAUCUACAGCAAUCUAAACCUUAUCAUUCUCAGACUCUUGGGUAGAUUUUUUUUUCCGUGUCAGGGGAGACUUGAGAAACUGCAAGUCGCUUCUGGUGGAGGGAGAAUUGGCCAUCUGCAAGGAUGUUGCCCAGGGGGCGCCUGGAUGUUUUACCACAUGGGAAGCUGGAGCUGACAGAUGAGAGUUCACCCUGCUCCCCAGAGUUUAACCCAUUUCUCCACCAGGGCUCCUCUUGUGUAGCUAACACAUCAUAUGAAUUGAAAUAACAAUUGUCUGUUUGGUGAUAAACAUUUUCCAUUUUCCAAAAUGACUUCUAAUUGUAUCUAUGAUUGCCCAGAUCUACAUGUUACAGAACCUAUACAAAUGUAUCCUUUCACAUUUUUACUCGCAUCUAGGAAGUAAAUAAAAUUUGAAUGAGAAAUAAAACAAAAAGUGAACAGUAAGAGAUCCUUACCUUAUACCAGGAGACAUUUG
This is a long non-coding RNA of Anolis carolinensis (green anole), 1269 nucleotides long. RefSeq lists it as uncharacterized. Lineage: Eukaryota; Metazoa; Chordata; Lepidosauria; Squamata; Anolidae. The transcript has 3 exons. The record is from RefSeq and is a predicted model, not a curated record.